AUGUCAAUGAUGAGUGAACUCAAAUUCUUUCUUGGGUUGCAAAUCAAGCAAACUAAGGAAGGGACUUUUGUCUCUCAAAUGAAGUACACUAAGGACUUAUUCAAGAAGUUCAAUAUGCAAGAAUGCAAAGGUAUGUCUACACCCAUGCCUACUAGUGGACAUCUUGAUUUGACCAAAGAUGGUGAACCGGUUGAUCAAAAAGUUUAUCGCUCUAUGAUUGGUUCAUUGUUAUAUCUAUGUGCUUCACGUCCCGAUAUUAUGAUAAGUGUGUGCAUGUGUGCAAGAUAUCAAGCUGCUCCUAAAGAAUGUCAUCUUAAGGCCGUGAAAAGGAUAGUGAGAUACUUAAUUCAUACACCAAAUUUUGGCAUUUGGUAUCCUAAGAGGGCCGCUUUCGAUCUUGUUGGCUUCUCCGACUCGGACUAUGCUGGAGACAAGGUUGAUAGAAAGUCCACUUCGGGUAGUUGUCAAUUUCUUGGUAGAUCUCUUGUGUCUUGGUCUUCCAAGAAACAAAACUCGGUAUCCUUAUCCACCGCCAAAGCGGAAUACAUUGCCGCUGGUUCAUGCUGUGCUCAAUUACUUUGGAUGACCCAAACUCUUAAAGAUUAUGGGAUAUAUGUGAAACAUGUUCCAUUGCUUUGUGACAAUGAAAGUGCUAUCAAAAUUGGUCAUAAUCCCGUGCAACAUUCUCGAACUAAGCAUAUUGAAGUUCGUCAUCAUUUCAUUCGAGAUCAUGUUGCUAAGGGUGACAUUAAUCUUAAUCAUGUUCGCACCGAAAAGCAAUUAGCAGAUAUUUUCACUAAACCUCUUGAUGAGAAAGUGUUUUGCAGGUUGAGAGGAUAA
RNAcentral lists this ribosomal RNA (840 nucleotides) under Triticum aestivum (bread wheat). RNAcentral describes it as "partial small subunit ribosomal RNA". The record is from RNAcentral. Lineage: Eukaryota; Viridiplantae; Streptophyta; Magnoliopsida; Poales; Poaceae.